This 342-nucleotide unclassified non-coding RNA is filed under the name soil metagenome. RNAcentral describes it as "partial contains 5.8S ribosomal RNA, internal transcribed spacer 2, and large subunit ribosomal RNA". The stretch from base 1 to 120 matches the Rfam family "5.8S ribosomal RNA", at positions 35 to 154 of the family's 154-position model. The record is from RNAcentral.
GAUGAAGAACGCAGCGAAAUGCGAUAAGUAAUGUGAAUUGCAGAAUUCAGUGAAUCAUCGAAUCUUUGAACGCACAUUGCGCCCCCUAGUAUUCUGGCGGGCAUGCCUGUCCGAGCGUCAUUUCAACCCUCAAGCCCCCGGGCUUGGUGUUGGGGAUCGGCGAGCCUCCGCGCCCGCCGUCCCCUAAAUCUAGUGGCGGUCUCGCUGUAGCUUCCUCUGCGUAGUAGCACACCUCGCACUGGGAAACAGCGCGGCCACGCCGUUAAACCCCCAACUUCUGAACGUUUGACCUCGGAUCAGGUAGGAAUACCCGCUGAACUUAAGCAUAUCAUAAGCGGAGGA